This 387-nucleotide ribosomal RNA is filed under the name uncultured bacterium. RNAcentral describes it as "bacterial SSU rRNA". It matches the Rfam family "Bacterial small subunit ribosomal RNA", at positions 28 to 417 of the family's 1533-position model. The record is from RNAcentral.
AAUCAACGCUGGCGGCGUGCUUAACACAUGCAAGUCGAGCGGUAAGGCCCUUUCGGGGGUACACGAGCGGCGAACGGGUGAGUAACACGUGGGUGACCUGCCCUCAGCUCUGGGAUAAGCCUGGGAAACCGGGUCUAAUACUGGAUAUGACUCCAUGACGCAUGUUGUGGGGUGGAAAGCCUUGUGCGGCUGAGGAUGGGCCCGCGGCCUAUCAGCUUGUUGGUGGGGGAUGGCCUACCAAGGCGACGACGGGUAGCCGGCCUGAGAGGGCGACCGGCCACACUGGGACUGAGACACGGCCCAGACUCCUACGGGAGGCAGCAGUGGGGAAUCUUGCGCAAUGGGCGAAAGCCUGACGCAGCGACGCCGCGUGAGGGAUGACGGCCU